AUGUCCUCAUUGGAAAUGAUAAAAAACAUUUUUCUCUAUGUCUAUGGAACAAAUAAUUUGUCAACAAAUGCUUAAAUUGCUUAACAAUAACAAUCAAAAAAAUUAAUUAAAAAAUGUUUGAAUUCGCGGAUACAAUUGCUUUAUUACUAGGAAUAGUCAUUGGUACUCUUGGUAUAUUAGCUUGUCUAGGGGCUUAUGCUAGAAGAAAAAUGUAUAUCGAGCAAAUAUGAAGGAAAGGAUUGAAACAAAAUACUGGAAAUAUAUUUUUUAAUUAUUACUUAUGUAAACAAAAAUGUAAAUAAACCACCAAAAAUAUAGUAACAA
Molecule: long non-coding RNA, 324 nt
Organism: Coccinella septempunctata (seven-spotted ladybird)
Lineage: Eukaryota; Metazoa; Arthropoda; Insecta; Coleoptera; Coccinellidae
Exons: 2
Source: RefSeq, a predicted model, not a curated record